RNAcentral lists this ribosomal RNA (392 nucleotides) under uncultured bacterium. Its description in RNAcentral is "partial 16S ribosomal RNA". It matches the Rfam family "Bacterial small subunit ribosomal RNA", at positions 523 to 918 of the family's 1533-position model. The record is from RNAcentral.
AUACGGAGGAUCCGAGCGUUAUCCGGAUUUAUUGGGUUUAAAGGGUGCGCAGGCGGCCAUUUAAGUCAGCGGUUAAAUCGUGGGGCUCAACCCCAUUCUGCCGUUGAUACUGGGUGGCUUGAUUGCGGUCGAGGUUGGCGGAAUUCGUUGUGUAGCGGUGAAAUGCAUAGAUAUGACGAAGAACACCGAUUGCGUAGGCAGCUGACCAGACCGCAAAUGACGCUCAUGCACGAAAGUGCGGGGAUCGAACAGGAUUAGAUACCCUGGUAGUCCGCACAGUAAACGAUGAAUACUUGUUUUCGGCGAUAUAAUGUCGGAGGCAAAGCGAAAGCGAUAAGUAUUCCACCUGGGGGGUACGCCGGCAACGGUGAAACUCAAAUGAAUUGGCGGGG